AUGGCUUCCGACGGCGUCAUCACGCACCGCAGCGUCGAGGUCAACGGCGUGCGCCUGCACGUCGCGGAGGCCGGCCCGGCGGGCGCGCCCGUGGUGCUGCUGCUGCACGGCUUCCCGGAGCUGUGGUACACCUGGCGGCACCAGAUGCCCGCGCUGGCCGCGGCCGGUUACCGCGCCGUCGCCCCCGACAUGCCUGGCUACGGCGACUCCGAGGCGCCCUCCGCCGGCCCGGACCAGUACACCGCGCUGCAUAUCGUCGGCGACCUUGUUGCGCUCAUCGACUCCCUCGGCCAGGAGCAGGUCUUCGUGGUGGCGCAUGACUGGGGCGCCAUAACAGCCUGGAGCCUGUGCCAGUUUCGGCCUGACCGGGUGAAGGCUCUGGUCGCCUUGAGCGUCCCCUUCACCCCUCGGAGCCCCGCGGUGAAGCCCGUCGACGCCGUCAGGGCUCUCUACGGCGACGACUUCUACAUCUGCAGCUUCCAGAAAGUUUUCGCUGAUCGAAGUGCUAGCCCACUGUUCAUCCCGAAGAGCGGGUGGGGCUCACCAGAUGAUGAGGUGCCCUUGCCGAGCUGGAUCACAGAUGAGGACGUCAAGUACUACACGACCCAGUUUGACAAGUCUGGUUUCACCGGAGGAUUCAACUACUACCGUGCCCUGAAUAAGACAUGGGAGUUAACUUCGCCAUGGACGGGAGCUGAGAUAAUGGUACCAACGAAGUUCAUAGUUGGCGACUUAGAUCUAACAUACAAUAUUGCGGGCGCAAAAGAUUUCAUUAACAAAGGUGGCUUCAAGAAGUUUGUUCCAUUACUUGAUGGCGUGGUGAUAAUGAAAGAUGUUGGGCAUUUCAUAAAUGAAGAAAAGCCAGAGGAAAUUAGUGCGCUCAUAAUCAGCUUCAUAAAGAAAUUCAACUAA
Molecule: ribosomal RNA, 912 nt
Filed under: Triticum aestivum (bread wheat)
Lineage: Eukaryota; Viridiplantae; Streptophyta; Magnoliopsida; Poales; Poaceae
Description: partial small subunit ribosomal RNA
Source: RNAcentral